This 728-nucleotide ribosomal RNA is filed under the name Brenneria roseae subsp. roseae. RNAcentral's name for it is "bacterial LSU rRNA". The stretch from base 86 to 728 matches the Rfam family "Bacterial large subunit ribosomal RNA", at positions 567 to 1211 of the family's 2925-position model. Lineage: Bacteria; Pseudomonadati; Pseudomonadota; Gammaproteobacteria; Enterobacterales; Pectobacteriaceae. The record is from RNAcentral.
GCGUUUCGCUUUGCGUGGUGCGCAAAAUGCGUAACGACAGCGCGAUUGACGGUUAACGGCGCGAAGCGACGUUCAACAUCAAAAUCAAGCAGUGGAGCGUUUUGGGGUGGGGUGACUGCGUACCUUUUGUAUAAUGGGUCAGCGACUUAUAUUCUGUAGCAAGGUUAACCGAAUAGGGGAGCCGCAGGGAAACCGAGUCUUAACUGGGCGUUAAGUUGCAGGGUAUAGACCCGAAACCCGGUGAUCUAGCCAUGGGCAGGUUGAAGGUUGGGUAACACUAACUGGAGGACCGAACCGACUAAUGUUGAAAAAUUAGCGGAUGACUUGUGGCUGGGGGUGAAAGGCCAAUCAAACCGGGAGAUAGCUGGUUCUCCCCGAAAGCUAUUUAGGUAGCGCCUCGUGAACUCAUCUUCGGGGGUAGAGCACUGUUUCGACUAGGGGGUCAUCCCGACUUACCAACUCGAUGCAAACUGCGAAUACCGUAGAAUGUUAUCACGGGAGACACACGGCGGGUGCUAACGUCCGUCGUGAAGAGGGAAACAACCCAGACCGCCAGCUAAGGUCCCAAAGUCAUGGUUAAGUGGGAAACGAUGUGGGAAGGCCCAGACAGCCAGGAUGUUGGCUUAGAAGCAGCCAUCAUUUAAAGAAAGCGUAAUAGCUCACUGGUCGAGUCGGCCUGCGCGGAAGAUGUAACGGGGCUAAACCAUGCACCGAAGCUGCGGCAGCGA